CAAAUGACUCUCAGCAACGGAUAUCUUGGCUCUUGCAACGAUGAAGAACGCAGCGAAAUGCGAUACCUAGUGUGAAUUGCAGAAUUCCGUGAA
RNAcentral lists this ribosomal RNA (93 nucleotides) under Symbiezidium barbiflorum. RNAcentral's name for it is "partial 5.8S ribosomal RNA". It matches the Rfam family "5.8S ribosomal RNA", at positions 1 to 88 of the family's 154-position model. Rfam says of the family: 5.8S ribosomal RNA (5.8S rRNA) is a component of the large subunit of the eukaryotic ribosome. Lineage: Eukaryota; Viridiplantae; Streptophyta; Jungermanniopsida; Porellales; Lejeuneaceae. The record is from RNAcentral.